RNAcentral lists this long non-coding RNA (277 nucleotides) under Eucalyptus grandis. RNAcentral's name for it is "long non-coding RNA (EGRA_LNC005835)". Lineage: Eukaryota; Viridiplantae; Streptophyta; Magnoliopsida; Myrtales; Myrtaceae. The record is from RNAcentral.
CCGUACAUACAAAAACAUUGAAACAAGAACAUAUGAAACGGAGGGUAGCAGCGGGAACCUAUUAAAACUCUCAUUUGACAAGCCAAGAAUCCAGAAACGACGAAAUACUAAGAACAUAUGUAUGUCUUUCUGCCAGACAUUUUGUCGAAUACACGGAGGGCGUUGGCUAAAUGAAAGCUUCAUAUUUAUUAGAGACACGAAAUUAGACUAGAAUCAGCAAGCGAGGUUCGACUUCGAUGCGGAAACAACUGAUUAUACUAAGUGCAAACAAAAUAAC